RNAcentral lists this ribosomal RNA (253 nucleotides) under uncultured bacterium. RNAcentral's name for it is "partial 16S ribosomal RNA". It matches the Rfam family "Bacterial small subunit ribosomal RNA", at positions 524 to 776 of the family's 1533-position model. The record is from RNAcentral.
UACAGAGGUCCCAAGCGUUGUUCGGAUUCACUGGGCGUAAAGGGUGCGUAGGCGGUCGGGUAAGUCUGAUGUGAAAUCUCACAGCUUAACUGUGAAACUGCGCUGGAUACUCUCCGGCUAGAGGAAUGGAGGGGAGACUGGAAUACUUGGUGUAGCAGUGAAAUGCGUAGAUAUCAAGUGGAACACCAGUGGCGAAGGCGAGUCUCUGGACAUUUCCUGACGCUGAGGCACGAAAGCCAGGGGAGCAAACGGG